This is a non-coding RNA of Zootoca vivipara (common lizard), 5449 nucleotides long. The record is from the annotation of a RefSeq genome assembly. NCBI's taxonomy places the organism in Eukaryota, Metazoa, Chordata, Lepidosauria, Squamata, Lacertidae.
ACCCUUCCUCCUUUACUUGGUGGAGCCGCUGCUUGUAUACUGGAAGCAGGGUCAGAGGAAUGGGGCAGGGGACAAAGCGGGGUGAGUGGGGACAAUUGCCCUCACAUGAACCACAGCCCACAAAUUCCCAGCUUUCUUCCUCUUCUCCCACCUCUUCCUCUUUUUAAAAAAGAGUUAAGUUUCUAGCAUUUGCAGAACCUAAGAUAUGAGACGAAAUGUACAGGCACUAGGCUUCCCCCUCCCACCCACCCCCCCCAACAAAAUCUUGGUUUCAAUCAUUUUGUGUAUGAGAAAUUAGCCUACUCCCCCCCCGCCCCCGAACUUCUAGUAUUUUACUUUGAUAGCCCCACCUUUUUACAAAGGGCAUUUGGAAGAGGUUUUUAAAGAAAUCUCAGCAGCCCGGGGGAGGGAGAAAUCCCCCAACACCUGGCUCUAUCAAAUCUCUUUACAGGGGGAAAUUGGGACAUUUUACAUACAAACUUGGUAGGCCAUCUAUUGAUAGCGGCAGGAAUCUCAGUGGCAAGAUUUUGGAAAACCUAAGGUUUAAACAUAGUCAAAUAGUUAAAAAAAAUAUGGGGAGGGUUUGUUCUUGUUUGUUUUCUGGGUAUGUAUUUUGUGUUCUUAUUUUAUCAUUUUUUGUUGUAAACUGCCCUGUUCUCUUCUGAUGAAAGGCAAUAUACAAAUUUAAUAAAUAAUUUAAAUUAAAAACAAAACAAAACACAAGAAGCCUUGGGAAAUCAAGUUAACUGAGAAAUUGACAAAAAGUUUGUUUUGCCAGUGGUUAAAAAAGUGACACACAUUCUUGGCAUAUUGCUGACCUUGUAUUACAUACACUGAUUAAAAAAAAGAUACUGUUAAAACCUUGCCAUUGCGUAGAAGCAACAUCAUCUGUAUUGUGUAAUUUAAAAUUUUACUCUCAGUAAAAAGAACUAUGCAGACUGUGGCUAUGUAUGCGUGUGUAGGGGCCAAAGAGAGUGAGUCUAUUGGUCAUCGAUUAAUUUUUAUAUUACUGUAUUUUGUACUCUUUGCAACAUGUUUGGCUUUAUGUUUGGGGUAUGUGUGUCAGAACCAAGCUACCUGUGAUCCAAUGGGUCAGUUAGUCAAGGGGGCAGCUGCCCCCUGGCUACGCCCGUCUGUGUGUGUGUGUGUGUGUGUAUCUUCACACCCACCCACCCCUUCUGUUUUGUUUCCAGCUGCUUUGGAGGUGAAGACUAGUCCUUCUCCUGUAAUAGGCCUGGUACACAACCCAGUUGUGCUGCAUUGUAACUUUACAGUUCAGGAGAGCGUCAGAAAAGAAGACGUAGCUCUGAAAUGGGCGGUGAAGACUGUAUCUGGAGAAGAGAGGGCAGUGUUUUUGUUUGAUGGGAACCACACAGCAGGUUACCGGCACGGGCUCUUAGUGAAUGUUGAGUUACUACCCCAUGGCAUUGCAUCACUCACCUUGUCGGAUGUGACAUUAAGGGACGAAGGGAUUUACACGUGCACUGUGCUGGUAACUCCGCAGUAUGGAAAUGGAAAGAUCCAGCUUAAAGUCAGAGCUCAGCCUGCUGUGCUGCUGCCGCCCCAAAGUCUCCUAGCUGCUGCAGAAGGAGAGAAGACAUUUUCUUGCAAUGUUCAUGACUUCUACCCCCAAGCAAUUAACAUCUCUUGGCUGGUCAGGAAACAAGGCAGCGUACGCGAAACACCACUAUCCUCAGAUAUAUGCACAGGGGCGCCAUCUUCUCGAGGCCGUGAUGGUUUGUUUGCUGUGCUGAGUCGUGUCACCCAAAUGGUGUCUGAGGCUGAUAAUGGUUCCUUAUAUAUCUGUGAAGUCCAGCACGAGUCCCUGGGAAAGCCGCUACGUAGAAAUACAACUUUGUUGGUCACAACAGAGCCCCAGGUCUCCUCAAUCAUCCAGCCUGACCUGAUCCCGAUUAAUGAAAAGAUCAGGCUGAUGUGCAAUAUAAAUGGAUUUAGACCCAAAACAAUCCAGGUGAAAUGGUACCGGAGAAACCCACACAGGAUGGUGUCGGCAGCAGACCAUGAAAAGGAAGAUGCAGCCCUUUGUGAGGCUGGAGAAGAUGUUACCAGUAUGGCUAAGCAGCCUCUGGAAGCCAAUGGCAGAUUCUACAGCAUCUCCUCCUGCCUGAGCUACAUGCCUACAAUAAAGGACGAUAGGGUGGAAUUUGAAUGCAACAUCCAGCACAGCACACUCAAGAAUCCAAUACGGAGGACCACAAUUAUUCAUGUUACUGCUCGACCAGCAAGUCAUUACAUCUUCAGCUCACCCCAGGUUCCCAUACAGGGGGAUAAGCUUAUUCUGAUCUGUGUUGUGGAGAAAUUUUAUCCAAAGGACAUCACUCUGGAUUGGUUUCGAAAUGGGCAGCCAAUUGAAGAAGUGACACAGUUUGGGCCUUUCCCUUGUGAAAGUGAUUUUUACAGUAUAUGGAGCCAGACUGAGUUUAUCCUGACCAGAGAUGAGGAAGGAGCAAUUUAUACCUGUCGGAUCAAGCACAGCAGCUUUGGAAAUGUCGAAGAACUCUCCUAUGAAAUAAAUUUGCAAGGAACCCCCCCAGAAGUCCUCUGGAUCACUCCAGACCCUCCAGUUCCUGUUGCAGGAGAGGAGCUGAGGCUAAGCUGCCGAAUCAAUAACUUCUCCCCUAGCGUGAUCAGGGUGAAUUGGUUCCAAGAUUGGAAGCCGCUGCAUGUGGGAAUCUGCCACUCAGUCUCCGUAGUUGGCGCCAAUGGCUUGCACUCCAUGUGGAGCCUUCUGAGAGUGACACCUGCGCAGGGGGCGGGGAAAACUGUGUUUACGUGCAAGGUGGAACACGACGCACUGAGUGGAUGUGUCGAAAGAGCGUACAUUUUGCAGAUGCCUGGUUGAACCGUUUUCAUGAAAAAGAAGGGAAAACUGCACCGAAGCAAACAAAAGGGAGAUUAGCAAAGAAACUAUGAGUGGACUGGAUUUCAAGGCAUGAACAGAAGGAUAAAAGCAGUAAAAGGAAAUAAUAUGCUGUCUGCAACCACUAGAUGUCGCUUUUCACCCUCUACAACUGUUGGGCGUUUUGAAUUCCCCUUUAUAUUUUGGCCAGAUAAUUCCAGAUAUUUGUGGUUUAGUUUAUUACAUGUGAAAUCUCACACUCUGGGCCAUGUGGAACCAGUCUGGAUAGUUUGCCUGGUGAAGAUCUGACAUUUUCUUCCCCAAACAGUUUUUAAUUUAGUUUCAUAGAAUCAUAGAAUCAUAAAUCAUAGAGUUGGAAGAGACCACAAGGGCCAUCCAGUCCAACCCCCUGCCAAGCAGGAAACACCAUUUCUAUUGAAUUGAGGCUGCAUUUUAAUGUUGUAUUUAAUUUUGUUCCUAAGCUGUAUUUUUAUCAAUUGUUUUAUAUCCGGUGUUAGCCGCCCUGAGACCAGUCUUGGGUGGGGAGGGCAGGGCAUAAAUAAAUUUAUCAUCAUCAUCAACCCCGCAAGAUAGUUCAUGGCCAAGAUAACUAGCAAACAGCCAUUUAGAAAUUAUCAGAAAAAUAUUUCCCAGAGAACAUAGGAGAGUGUCCUGUUAGCUCAGUGGUACGGUAGUGCCUGUCCAUUAGGGUGUGUUUAAUUUUUCCCAAAAUGAGGGUUGCUAAAAAGUUGUAACAUGACUUGGGAAUGCAAAAGAUAUUUUGGAUAAAUUAAUAUAAUUUAGUUUUGAAUGUAGGUCAUUUUUUGUGUCAAAUUGCAUAGAAAUUAUUAAAAAAGGAUUGCUAAGUACUUCCAGUUAUAUUAUACAUUUUCAUUUGUCUGGAAGAGUGUCCCAUUGGGAGUCAAACCAUCAAAGAGUUACAGUGCCUAUUGUAGCUGUAGAGACCAAGACAGGAGAGACAACUUAGCAUAUUACCUGACAUUUUCAGAAGGCAAAAUCAAAAUCCUUUGGGCUUCUCAAAGCAGCUUAUGUACUUUUUCAUCAAACGUAGACUUACAAAGCUAAAUGUUGUCCAGUCAGAAAAAACAACUGCAGAUUUGAAUUCCUCACGCCCAAAAAUGUGUGUUUUUUUACGAUCCCUCACUGAAGAAAUUUGCAAAAAUUAGGUUUCAGCCCCUAAAAUGACAUGCCUUGCUGCCCAUUCUCACAACCCCAGGAAGCAAUAUAGUUCUGAACACCAUUUGCUGGGAAACAGCUUCUGCUUGUGGGCUUCUUGUAGACAUUGGGUUGGCCACAGUGAAAACAGGAGGCUGGACCAGAUGGGCCAUUGGCCUGAUCCAGCAGAGCUUUUCUUAUGUCCUUAAUCUUUGAUCCCAAGUUCAGUGCCUAGGACUCAAGACUUGCAACCCUAACCCCACUGACCUGGGAGUAAGCCCCCUUGAAUUAAUAUGAUUUACUUCUGGUGGCGCUGUGGGUUAAACCACAGAGUCUAGGGCUUGCUGAUCAGAAGGUCGGCGGUUCGAAUCCCUGCAACGGGGUGAGCUCCCGUUGCUCAGUCCCAGCUCCUGCCCACCUAGCAGUUCGAAAGCACAUCAAAGUGUGAGUAGAUAAAUAGGGACCGCUCCGGCGGGAAGGUAAACAGUGUUUCCGUGUGCUGCUCUGGUUCGCCAGAAGCAGCUUUGUUAUGCUGGCCACAUGACCCGGAAGCUGUCUGCGGACAAACGCUGGCUCCCUCGGCCUAUAGAGCGAGAUGAGUGCCGCAACCCCAGAGUCGGACACAACUGGACCUGAUGGUCAGGGGCCCCUUUACCUUUACCUAGACAUGGUUAGGAACAUGUUGUUAGGUAGUAAGUCGUGGCAAAGAUCUACUGACUGAGAUAAGACAACUCAUCUAACUUUAACAAUUCCUUCAGUGCUGUUACUUUCCUCUUCCAUUUGUGGUUCCAUAAAGAAUGGGGUUUCAGCAGGUGACAUUUUUCAGACACUUACAGCCGUGAAUAAUAUGUCAAGGUGCAAAUGCUAAAAUUCUCGCCUCGAUGCAGUUAUUGAAGAUAUAGAGCCCUACCUCUAAAAGGAUAUUUGCCCAUUCUGCACUGAAGGUCCCAGCCGUGCUGAGAGAUAGGUCUGCUUUUAUAAUGGGCCAACUAAAGAUUCCAGUGACUUCAGCUGUCAAUCAGCUGAUUACAAGUCAGCCUUGUAAGGAAUGACAAUAAAGCUGUUGCAGGAAGAAAUAUAUUUAUGAGCAAGAUCGGAAUGGCAAAAGCAGUAGGGAGUGAGGGAUGUGUGUUGAGGUUGCUGGUUUGAAGUGUGUAUAUUUUGGAAGCAGGAUUUGCUGUCUCAACUGUGCUGAUCUUGUCAUAAUAAUAUUAAUAAAAACAUAGUGGUGAAGGCUUUUUCUUUUGUUUUUAAAACUGGCAUUCCAAAUGGAAAUUUCCAUGCAGAAAUAUGUUUGUUGUGAAAGGGAUUAUUUACAUGCCCUAAAAGAGGAAGAGAAAGAAUUAGAUACUAGUUUUAUGAUGUGAAAAUCCCUAUCAAUAUUAGUAUCAUAAUUUAAAUACCUCUGAUGUG